This 253-nucleotide ribosomal RNA is filed under the name uncultured bacterium. Its description in RNAcentral is "partial 16S ribosomal RNA". It matches the Rfam family "Bacterial small subunit ribosomal RNA", at positions 524 to 776 of the family's 1533-position model. The record is from RNAcentral.
UACGUAGGGGGCGAGCGUUAAUCGGAAUUACUGGGCGUAAAGCGUGCGUAGACGGUUAUUUAAGUCGGGUGUGAAAGCCCCGGGCUCAACCUGGGAAUUGCAUUCGAGACUGAAUAGCUAGGGUACGGUAGAGGGAAGCGGAAUUUCCGGUGUAGCGGUGAAAUGCGUAGAUAUCGGAAGGAACAUCAGUGGCGAAAGCGGCUUCCUGGACCAGUACCGACGUUCAGGCACGAAAGCGUGGGGAGCAAACAGG